AACCUGCUUGUGGAUCAUU
This 19-nucleotide ribosomal RNA is filed under the name Hoplolaimus columbus. RNAcentral describes it as "partial 18S ribosomal RNA". The record is from RNAcentral. Lineage: Eukaryota; Metazoa; Nematoda; Chromadorea; Rhabditida; Hoplolaimidae.